RNAcentral lists this ribosomal RNA (285 nucleotides) under uncultured bacterium. Its description in RNAcentral is "partial 16S ribosomal RNA". It matches the Rfam family "Bacterial small subunit ribosomal RNA", at positions 29 to 339 of the family's 1533-position model. The record is from RNAcentral.
AGCGAACGCUGGCGGCGUGCUUAACACAUGCAAGUCGAACGAAGGCUUCGGCCUUAGUGGCGGACGGGUGAGUAACGCGUGGGAAUCUACCUUACGGCGGGGAAUAACAGUUGGAAACGACUGCUAAUACCGCAUACGCCCUUCGGGGGAAAGGCUUCGGCCACCGUUUGAGGAUCCCGCGUCCAAUUAGCUAGUUGGUAGGGUAACGGCCUACCAAGGCGACGAUCGGUAGCUGGUCUGAGAGGAUGAUCAGCCACACUGGGACUGAGACACGGCCCAGACUCC